GAUGAACGCUAGCGGCAGGCUUAACACAUGCAAGUCGAGGGGUAUAGUUCUUCGGAACUAGAGACCGGCGCACGGGUGCGUAACGCGUAUGCAAUCUACCUUUUGCAGAGGGGAUAGCCCAGAGAAAUUUGGAUUAAUACCUCAUAGUAUAAUGACUCGGCAUCGAGAUAUUAUUAAAGUCACAACGGCAAAAGAUGAGCAUGCGUCCCAUUAGCUAGUUGGUAAGGUAACGGCUUACCAAGGCUACGAUGGGGUAGGGGUCCUGAGAGGGAGACUCCCCCACACUGGUACUGAGACACGGACCAGACACCUACGGGAGGCUG
RNAcentral lists this ribosomal RNA (323 nucleotides) under uncultured Bacteroidota bacterium. Its description in RNAcentral is "bacterial SSU rRNA". It matches the Rfam family "Bacterial small subunit ribosomal RNA", at positions 28 to 351 of the family's 1533-position model. The record is from RNAcentral. Lineage: Bacteria; Pseudomonadati; Bacteroidota.